Molecule: ribosomal RNA, 253 nt
Filed under: uncultured bacterium
Lineage: Bacteria
Description: partial 16S ribosomal RNA
Rfam family: Bacterial small subunit ribosomal RNA
Source: RNAcentral
UACGGGGGGGGUAAGCGUUGUUCGGAAUUACUGGGCGUAAAGGGCUCGUAGGCGGCCAACUAAGUCCGACGUGAAAUCCCAAGGCUUAACCUUGGAACUGCGUCGGAUACUGGAUGGCUUGAGUUCGGGAGAGGGAUGCGGAAUUCCAGGUGUAGCGGUGAAAUGCGUAGAUAUCGUAAGGAACGCCAGUGGCGAAAGCGAAUCUCUGGGCAGCAACUGACGCUGAGGCACGAAGGCCAGGGGAGCAAACGGG